Molecule: small RNA, 755 nt
Filed under: Pongo abelii (Sumatran orangutan)
Lineage: Eukaryota; Metazoa; Chordata; Mammalia; Primates; Hominidae
Description: processed transcript
Source: RNAcentral
GGCCCUGAGGCAGUGCCGUGCCCAGCAUGGCUUCACCAGCCUGUGUCCUUUCAUAGCCUGCCCUCCUAUACCUGGUCCCCGCCUGCAUCGGUUUUCCUGUCCUGGUGGCGCUGGCCAAGGGAGAAGUGACAGAGAUGUUCAGUUAAAAAUUCCAGAGCUGUAACAGAGAGCACCCUCAUGCUCCAGCUACCCCACAGAGGCCAGCAGUAUUACACAGACAUUCAGACACCUGUGCACUGACGUGUGUAUACUUUUUCUUGCACAGAUGGUGGCAUUCUUGGAGCAUUCUGCACCUUGGGUUUCUACGUUAUGAGGAGUCAAAUCCUAAGGAUCCAGCGGCAGUGACAGAAUCCAAAGAGGGAACAGAGGCAUCAGCAUCGAAGGGGCUGGAGAAGAAAGAGAAAUGAUGCGGCUGGUGCCCGAGCCUCUCAGGGCCAGACCAGACAGAAUGGGGGCUGGGCCCACACAGGCGUGCACGGGCAGAGGGCACAGGAGGCCGAGGGCAGCUCCAGGACAGGGCAGGGGCAGCAGGAUAACUCCAGCCAGGCCUCUGUGGCCUCUGUUUCCCUCUCCCUUUCUUGGCCCUCCUCUGCUCCUCCCCACACCCUGCAGGCAAAAGAAACCCCCAGCUUCCCCCCUCCCCGGGAGCCGGGUGGGAAAAGUGGCUGUGAUUUUUAGAUUUUGUAUUGUGGACUGAUUUUGCCUCACAUUAAAAACUCAUCCCAUGGCCAGGGUGGGCCACUGUGCUCCUGGAA